GAUGAACGCUGGCGGCGUGCCUAAUACAUGCAAGUCGAGCGAACAGAUGAGGAGCUUGCUCCUCUGACGUUAGCGGCGGACGGGUGAGUAACACGUGGAUAACCUACCUAUAAGACUGGGAUAACUUCGGGAAACCGGAGCUAAUACCGGAUAAUAUAUUGAACCGCAUGGUUCAAUAGUGAAAGACGGUUUUGCUGUCACUUAUAGAUGGAUCCGCGCCGCAUUAGCUAGUUGGUAAGGUAACGGCUUACCAAGGCAACGAUGCGUAGCCGACCUGAGAGGGUGAUCGGCCACACGGGAACUGAGACACGGUCCAGGCUCCUACGGGAGGCAGCAGUAGGGAAUCUUCCGCAAUGGGCGAAAGCCUGACGGAGCAACGCCGCGUGAGUGAUGAAGGUCUUCGGAUCGUAAAACUCUGUUAUUAGGGAAGAACAAAUGUGUAAGUAACUAUGCACGUCUUGACGGUACCUAAUCAGAAAGCCACGGCUAACUACGUG
Molecule: ribosomal RNA, 497 nt
Filed under: uncultured bacterium
Lineage: Bacteria
Description: partial 16S ribosomal RNA
Rfam family: Bacterial small subunit ribosomal RNA
Source: RNAcentral